GCGAUAUAGGGAGAUAUGGGGCAGUAUGGGGUGAAAUGGGUCCAGCUAUGGGGUGAUGGGUCUCUAUGGGUCUCUAUGGGUCCAAUGUUACUCUUUGGGGUCUCUAUGGGUCUCUAUGGGUCCAAUGGAUCUCUGUGUGUCUCUAUGGGUCCCUUUGUGUCCCUAUGGGUCCCUAUGGGUCUCUAUGGGUCCAAUGGGUCCCUAUGUGUCCCUAUGGGUCUCUAUGGAUCCCUAUGGGGUCUCUAUGUGUCCCUAUGGGUCCCUGUGGGUCCAAUGGGUCUCUAUGGGGUCUGUAUGUGUACCUAUGGGUCUGUACGGGUGCGAUGUGUCCCUAUAGGUCUCUAUGUGUCCCUAUAGGUCUCUAUGUGUCCCUAUGGGUCCCUAUGGAUCUCAAUGGGUCUCUAUGGGGUCCCUGUGGGUCCCUAUGGGUCCCUGUGGGUCUCUAUGGGUCCCUAUGUGUCCCUAUGGGUCCCUAUGGGUCGCUAUGGGUCCCUAUGGGUCGCUAUGGGUCCCUAUGUGUCCCUAUGUGUCCCUAUGGGUCCCUAUGUGUCCCUAUGUGUCCCUAUGGGUGCGAUGUGUCCCGCAGGCGCUGUGGGCGGCGCUGCUCCCUCUGCUGGCGCUGUCGGCGCCCCACGCGCUGCUCCCGGCUCUGUUGGCCGCUCUGUGGGGCGGAGCCACGUUGGGGGCGGCGCUGCUGCGCUUCACCCCCCGGCUGCCCCACGGAGACUGCGUGGUACGGACCCACGGGGCUCCCGUCCUCCCGUACGCCCAUCCUCCCGGUCCUCCCAGUCCUCCCAGUCCUCCAGUCCUCCCAUCCUCCAGUCCUCCAGUCCUCCCAGUCCUCCCAGUCCUCCAGUCCUCCGAUCUUCCAGUCCUCCAGUCCUCCCAGUCCUCCCAGUCUUCCGGUCCUCCAGUCCUCCCAGUCCUCCAGUCCUCCAGUCUUCCGGUCCUCCAGUCCUCCCAGUCCUCCCAGUCCUCCGGUCCUCCAGUCCUCCCAGUCCUCCAGUCCUCCCAUCCUCCCAGUCCUCCAAUCUUCCGGUCCUCCGGUCCUCCCAGUCCUCCAGUCCUCCAGUCCUCCCAGUCCUCCAGUCCUCCCAGUCCUCCGGUCUUCCCAGUCCUCCAGUCCUCCGGUCCUCCCAGUCCUCCGGUCCUCCAGUCCUCCCAGUCCUCCGGUCUUCCCAGUCCUCCGGUCCUCCGGUCCUCCGGUCCUCCCAGUCCUCCGGUCCUCCAGUCCUCCCAGUCCUCCAGUCCUCCAGUCCUCCCAGUCCUCCAAUCUUCCGGUCCUCCGGUCCUCCCAGUCCUCCAGUCCUCCAGUCCUCCCAGUCCUCCAGUCCUCCCAGUCCUCCGGUCUUCCCAGUCCUCCAGUCCUCCGGUCCUCCCAGUCCUCCGGUCCUCCAGUCCUCCCAGUCCUCCGGUCUUCCCAGUCCUCCGGUCCUCCGGUCCUCCGGUCCUCCCAGUCCUCCAGUCCUCCCAGUCCUCUGGUCCUCUCAGUCCUCCCAGUCCUCCAGUCCUCCCAGUCCUCCGGUCUUCCCAGUCCUCCGGUCCUCCCAGUCCUCCGGUCCUCCAGUCCUCCAGUCCUCCCAGUCCUCCAGUCCUCCCAGUCCUCCAGUCCCCCCCAGAGUCCCCCAUACCCCCCCACAUCCCCCCCAUACCCCCCCCCAGGCCCCAUAUCCCCCCAUAUCCCCCUAUAUCUCCCCCAUACCCCCCCACUUUCCCGCAUUCUCCCCCAGUCCCCCAGUCCUCCCAGUCCUCCAGUCCCCCCCAUAUCCCC
RNAcentral lists this long non-coding RNA (1771 nucleotides) under Gallus gallus (chicken). RNAcentral's name for it is "lncRNA (ENSGALG00010004090.1)". The record is from RNAcentral. Lineage: Eukaryota; Metazoa; Chordata; Aves; Galliformes; Phasianidae.